RNAcentral lists this ribosomal RNA (616 nucleotides) under Salmonella enterica. RNAcentral's name for it is "partial 23S ribosomal RNA". It matches the Rfam family "Bacterial large subunit ribosomal RNA", at positions 1275 to 1874 of the family's 2925-position model. Lineage: Bacteria; Pseudomonadati; Pseudomonadota; Gammaproteobacteria; Enterobacterales; Enterobacteriaceae. The record is from RNAcentral.
GGAGGUAUCAGAAGUGCGAAUGCUGACAUAAGUAACGAUAAAGCGGGUGAAAAGCCCGCUCGCCGGAAGACCAAGGGUUCCUGUCCAACGUUAAUCGGGGCAGGGUGAGUCGACCCCUAAGGCGAGGCCGAAAGGCGUAGUCGAUGGGAAACGGGUUAAUAUUCCCGUACUUGGUGUUACUGCGAAGGGGGGACGGAGAAGGCUAUGUUGGCCGGGCGACGGUUGUCCCGGUUUAAGCGUGUAGGUGUGUGUUCCAGGUAAAUCCGGUUCACUUUAACACUGAGGCGUGACGACGAGGCACUACGGUGCUGAAGCAACAAAUGCCCUGCUUCCAGGAAAAGCCUCUAAGCAUCAGGUAACACGAAAUCGUACCCCAAACCGACACAGGUGGUCAGGUAGAGAAUACCAAGGCGCUUGAGAGAACUCGGGUGAAGGAACUAGGCAAAAUGGUGCCGUAACUUCGGGAGAAGGCACGCUGACACGUAGGUGAAGUGAUUUACUCAUGGAGCUGAAGUCAGUCGAAGAUACCAGCUGGCUGCAACUGUUUAUUAAAAACACAGCACUGUGCAAACACGAAAGUGGACGUAUACGGUGUGACGCCUGCCCGGUGCCGGAA